RNAcentral lists this ribosomal RNA (253 nucleotides) under uncultured bacterium. RNAcentral's name for it is "partial 16S ribosomal RNA". It matches the Rfam family "Bacterial small subunit ribosomal RNA", at positions 524 to 776 of the family's 1533-position model. The record is from RNAcentral.
AACGUAGGUGGCGAUCGUUAUCCGGAUUUACUGGGCGUAAAGCGUGUGCAGGCGGGGAACCAAGUGGUGUAUAAAAUUUCUCAGCUAAACUGGGAGCGGUUAUGCCAGACUGGUUUUCUGGAGUGCGAGAGAGGGGCGUGGAAUUCCCGGUGUAGUGGUGGAAUGCGUAGAUAUCGGGAGGAACAUCAGUGGCGAAAGCGGCACCCUGGCAUUAGCCUGACGCUCAUGUGCGAAAGCGUGGGGAGCGAACGGG